This 29-nucleotide non-coding RNA is filed under the name Rattus norvegicus (Norway rat). Lineage: Eukaryota; Metazoa; Chordata; Mammalia; Rodentia; Muridae. The record is from RNAcentral.
UGACAAAUCUGAAAAAGAUGAGGGUUUGG